CAGAUCAAAGAGAAUGGCGUCUUUCUGGCGGCUCAUGUCUGCCCCUUGUCGCUGGUGCUAUUCUGGCCGGUCUGC
RNAcentral lists this transfer RNA (75 nucleotides) under Phaeobacter italicus. Its description in RNAcentral is "tRNA-Met". The record is from RNAcentral. Lineage: Bacteria; Pseudomonadati; Pseudomonadota; Alphaproteobacteria; Rhodobacterales; Roseobacteraceae.